GGAUAGGAGGGCCAUCUGGCUGCUACAUCUGUUACCCCAUUGCUCUCCAGGGUCGAUUCUGCUGAUCUGGAUGGCUAGGCAGGUGUCCUCUUCCUCCCUCCUCGCUCCAUGUGCAUCCCUCCCAAGGCUGCAUGCUUGGUCGAUGAGAACAACCAUCCCCAACAGAGGAGGACUGUUCUUCGGUCAAGGGUAUACAGUAGCUGUACUCCCUACCAGAACCUCCAAACAAGCUCGACAAGAAAAAAUAGAUGAUUGAUUGAUGGAUAGAUACAUAGAUGCAACUUUAACAUAAAUUUUACUGGAAUAAAGAAUUUA
Molecule: small nuclear RNA, 315 nt
Filed under: Castor canadensis (American beaver)
Lineage: Eukaryota; Metazoa; Chordata; Mammalia; Rodentia; Castoridae
Description: 7SK RNA (ENSCCNG00000026051.1)
Rfam family: 7SK RNA
About the family: 7SK was discovered as an abundant small nuclear RNA in the mid-70s but a possible function has only recently been suggested. Two independent studies have found that 7SK RNA binds the CDK9/cyclin T complex (known as elongation factor P-TEFb). P-TEFb activates transcription by phosphorylating the C-terminal domain of RNA polymerase II.
Source: RNAcentral